GGGCAUGUAGCUGGGAGGAUUAGAGCACUUGGCUACGAACCAUAUUGUCGGGGGUUCGAAUCCCUCCUCGACCA
Molecule: transfer RNA, 74 nt
Filed under: Helianthus annuus (common sunflower)
Lineage: Eukaryota; Viridiplantae; Streptophyta; Magnoliopsida; Asterales; Asteraceae
Rfam family: tRNA
About the family: Transfer RNA (tRNA) molecules are approximately 80 nucleotides in length.
Source: Rfam by way of RNAcentral